This 414-nucleotide ribosomal RNA is filed under the name Theileria annulata. RNAcentral's name for it is "SSU rRNA". It matches the Rfam family "Eukaryotic small subunit ribosomal RNA", at positions 469 to 923 of the family's 1831-position model. Lineage: Eukaryota; Apicomplexa; Aconoidasida; Piroplasmida; Theileriidae. The record is from RNAcentral.
GACAAGAAAUAACAAUACGGGGCUUAAAGUCUUGUAAUUGGAAUGAUGGGAAUUUAAACCUCUUCCAGAGUAUCAAUUGGAGGGCAAGUCUGGUGCCAGCAGCCGCGGUAAUUCCAGCUCCAAUAGCGUAUAUUAAAAUUGUUGCAGUUAAAAAGCUCGUAGUUGAAUUUCUGCUGCAUUGCUUGUGUCCCUCUGGGGUCUGUGCAUGUGGCUUUUUUCGGACGGAGUUUCUUUGUCUGAAUGUUUACUUUGAGAAAAUUAGAGUGCUCAAAGCAGGCUUUCGCCUUGAAUAGUUUAGCAUGGAAUAAUAAAGUAGGACUUUGGUUCUAUUUUGUUGGUUUUAGGUACCAAAGUAAUGGUUAAUAGGAACAGUUGGGGGCAUUCGUAUUUAACUGUCAGAGGUGAAAUUCUUAG